Molecule: long non-coding RNA, 321 nt
Organism: Mustela putorius furo (domestic ferret)
Lineage: Eukaryota; Metazoa; Chordata; Mammalia; Carnivora; Mustelidae
Source: Ensembl
GGGAAAAUGGCUGAUUCUAGGGCUGGGGAAGGGAAGGUAUAAGACAAAUCCAGCAAUCAAACAAUGAUGGCAACAUGAGGUAAGUAAUUAUGGAGCAAUAGGCAUGUUCCGUAUCAGUAUGAUUCAGUGUUUCCAGUAACGAAAAGGAGAGAUUAAUGAGUGGGACAGUGGAGUUUUCCAGAGCCCACAUGUCAUGUGACAUUACGACAGACUGAAGAUGUGACAACUGAAUGUAUGACAAUCCAGCUGGAUUCCAUAAAGCCAGACAGUAAGGAGAUUUGUAAAGGUGUAAAAUAGUGCCACUUUUUAUACUGUUUUUUU